RNAcentral lists this non-coding RNA (49 nucleotides) under Mixta gaviniae. Its description in RNAcentral is "Pantoea gaviniae Guanidine-II sequence". It matches the Rfam family "Guanidine-II riboswitch aptamer (mini-ykkC)". Rfam says of the family: Simpler in structure and has fewer highly conserved nucleotide positions than the ykkC-yxkD leader. Despite this each of its two stem-loop structures directly bind free guanidine. Therefore, mini-ykkC RNA motif represents a distinct class of guanidine-sensing RNAs. Lineage: Bacteria; Pseudomonadati; Pseudomonadota; Gammaproteobacteria; Enterobacterales; Erwiniaceae. The record is from RNAcentral.
AACCGGGGACGACCCCGGCUUCUUCUCUGUCACGUCCGGGACGGCCCGG